This 467-nucleotide ribosomal RNA is filed under the name uncultured bacterium. RNAcentral describes it as "partial 16S ribosomal RNA". It matches the Rfam family "Bacterial small subunit ribosomal RNA", at positions 29 to 507 of the family's 1533-position model. The record is from RNAcentral.
ACGAACGCUGGCGGCGUGCCUAACACAUGCAAGUCGAACGGAAAGGCCCUGCUUUUGUGGGGUGCUCGAGUGGCGAACGGGUGAGUAACACGUGAGUAACCUGCCCUUGACUUUGGGAUAACUUCAGGAGACUGGGGCUAAUACCGGAUAGGAGCUCCUGCUGCAUGGUGGGGGUUGGAAAGUUUCGGCGGUUGGGGAUGGACUCGCGGCUUAUCAGCUUGUUGGUGGGGUAGUGGCUUACCAAGGCUUUGACGGGUAGCCGGCCUGAGAGGGUGACCGGCCACAUUGGGACUGAGAUACGGCCCAGACUCCUACGGGAGGCAGCAGUGGGGAAUAUUGCACAAUGGGCGGAAGCCUGAUGCAGCAACGCCGCGUGCGGGAUGACGGCCUUCGGGUUGUAAACCGCUUUCGCCUGUGACGAAGCGUGAGUGACGGUAAUGGGUAAAGAAGCACCGGCUAACUACGUG